UUUGAUAUAAGAUGCAAGUGAUUGGCUUGACACAUGAAGAAUAUGUGUACUUUGAUAGAAAUGCUACUAAGAAGUCUAUCAUAUGGAUAUAACUAGAUCAAUCAUUCAAUUAAAGGGUUGAAAUGUGAUCAAUAGAAAUUUCAAUUUUGACAUAAAGGGCGAGGUAUCCUCCUUAUAGAUGAUCGGGAACUGGUAUGUCCCACUCAUCCAAUAAGCAGUACCAACAAGAUUGUACACCAGUGAUACAGACAGAGGUGUUGGCCAAUACUAACAGAGGUCUAGAUAGUAAAAGUGACCAACUACUAUUAGUCGAUAAUAUGUCAUCAUGCAUUACAUGCCUCUAUAGUUUUCUUGUCAUAAUGUUUACAUGUCCACACAUGAUAACCAUGUACAUCCAUCGUCAUAUGAUAUGUAUGCAUAAUUAGUUGUUUUAUUUCCCUACCCUUGUAUUCCAUGAUUUUUA
This 463-nucleotide long non-coding RNA is filed under the name Medicago truncatula (barrel medic). Its description in RNAcentral is "long non-coding RNA (MTRU_LNC001860)". The record is from RNAcentral. Lineage: Eukaryota; Viridiplantae; Streptophyta; Magnoliopsida; Fabales; Fabaceae.